GAAGGUCUGAUGCCUGAUACAGACUUAACGUGAACCUCUCGGGGGACGAUAACGGCGUCGAGCGGCGGACGGGUGAGUAAUGCCUAGGAAAUUGCCCUGAUGUGGGGGAUAACCAUUGGAAACGAUGGCUAAUACCGCAUGAUGCCUACGGGCCAAAGAGGGGGACCUUCGGGCCUCUCGCGUCAGGAUAUGCCUAGGUGGGAUUAGCUAGUUGGUGAGGUAAGGGCUCACCAAGGCGACGAUCCCUAGCUGGUCUGAGAGGAUGAUCAGCCACACUGGAACUGAGACACGGUCCAGACUCCUACGGGAGGCAGCAGUGGGGAAUAUUGCACAAUGGGCGCAAGCCUGAUGCAGCCAUGCCGCGUGUAUGAAGAAGGCCUUCGGGUUGUAAAGUACUUUCAGUCGUGAGGAAGGCGUUGUUGUUAAUAGCUGCAUCGUUUGACGUUAGCGACAGAAGAAGCACCGGCUAACUCCGUGCCAGCAGCCGCGGUAAUACGGAGGGUGCGAGCGUUAAUCGGAAUUACUGGGCGUAAAGCGCAUGCAGGUGGUUUGUUAAGUCAGAUGUGAAAGCCCGGGGCUCAACCUCGGAAUAGCAUUUGAAACUGGCAGACUAGAGUACUGUAGAGGGGGGUAGAAUUUCACGUGUAGCGGUGAAAUGCGUAGAGAUCUGAAGGAAUACCGGUGGCGAAGGCGGCCCCCUGGACAGAUACUGACACUCAGAUGCGAAAGCGUGGGGAGCAAACAGGAUUAGAUACCCUGUUAGUCCACGCCGUAAACGAUGUCUACUUGGAGGUUGUGCCUUGAGCCGUGCUUUCGAGCUAACGCGUUAAGUAGACCGCUGGGGAGUACGUCGCAGAUUAAACUCAAAUGAUUGACGGGGCCGCACAGCGGUGGAGCAUGUGUUAAUUCGAUGCACGCGAGACUACAACUCUGACUCAAAAACUUCAGAA
This 950-nucleotide ribosomal RNA is filed under the name Vibrio alginolyticus. RNAcentral describes it as "bacterial SSU rRNA". It matches the Rfam family "Bacterial small subunit ribosomal RNA", at positions 1 to 995 of the family's 1533-position model. Lineage: Bacteria; Pseudomonadati; Pseudomonadota; Gammaproteobacteria; Vibrionales; Vibrionaceae. The record is from RNAcentral.